GCUGGAUGGGGGCAGUGGGGAACUGGCUCCCUCUCUCAGCCAUCUCCCCUGGCCUGUCUCUCCAACCAGGUCCUAAGUUCUGUGACACAGGUGACACAGAUUGGGGACAGCUGAGAGGGCAAGGUGAGCCAUCAAGGGUCCAAAAGAUCAUCUCUUCCCUCUUUUCCAGGACAUCGAUUUGGAAAGCCUUGGGGUGCUGUGAGGAGUGGCUUACCCAGCCGCUGAGCCCUGUUCCCUGUGCCAGUGCCCCAGAAACGGGCCCAACCCCCAGCUCUCCUGGCAUGGAUUCAGGCUCCGUUCCACAUCACUCCUUUAGGCGUAAAAGACACCGGGGCCAGCAGCUAGCAGAGGGAGAGACGCAUCUCCUGGAAGUCGAUCCGAUCAGAACUCCAUUCUAUGGUCCCAGAGCUUCACGUGGCCGUGGUUUGCACAGAGGCAGCCGGAAGACAGGAUGGCAUCCUGAGCGGUGGGGGAGCGAUAGGUGCCAGCCAGCAGCAGGACCCUGGGACCGUGAGAGGCCCCCAGGCGGUAAGGGACAAGGGCUUCAGCCACAGGACACCAGUGCA
This 566-nucleotide long non-coding RNA is filed under the name Felis catus (domestic cat). RNAcentral describes it as "lncRNA (ENSFCAG00000048694.1)". The record is from RNAcentral. Lineage: Eukaryota; Metazoa; Chordata; Mammalia; Carnivora; Felidae.